CCUGCCCCCCGACACCAGCCCGGCUCUGGGUGUGGAGGACGUUCCCCAUUCCCACCCAUCUCUGCAGGUGUCCCCGCAGCACACGGUGACACGGGUGCCCAUCAUCCGCCACCGCGGCUCCAACACUCUCAACUUCCUCUUCCAUGACCCGGAGAGCCGCGGCACUGCCGAGAACAGCCAGGGAGCUCCCAAGAGCUCAGUGAAUGAGUGGUACCAGACCUGGCCGGCCAAGGAGGCGAAAGGCCCCAGCACCCCUGUGCCCACCCAG
This is a non-coding RNA of Sturnus vulgaris (Common starling), 268 nucleotides long. The record is from RefSeq and is a predicted model, not a curated record. Lineage: Eukaryota; Metazoa; Chordata; Aves; Passeriformes; Sturnidae.